Molecule: non-coding RNA, 476 nt
Organism: Pelobates cultripes (western spadefoot toad)
Lineage: Eukaryota; Metazoa; Chordata; Amphibia; Anura; Pelobatidae
Source: the annotation of a GenBank genome assembly
CUUUUCUGGACUCUUUACUAACUUUUCUUCUUUUGCUUUUUGGUCCUUGGAUGAUCCAACUGCCUUUUCACCAUCUUCCACAUUAUCACUGCUUUCAGGAUCAAUUUUAUCUUUCUUGCCUUCUAAUUCCGGUUCUCUCUCUUCUGUGUGUUUCUCAACAUCACGCUUUGUUGCCUCCAUGCUUUUCAGCUUGCGAAAGACUUCUUCUACUGCCUCUGUCAUCUAAUGCAGGAUGUCAGUAGCUUGGUUACGGGGUCCCUUGUCCCCACUCUCCCUGCAGGGCGCAAUCUGCAAAACCUCAGUAAGUGCAGCUCUGUGCUCCUGCUGAGCAUCCCUCAGGUUCUUAAUCUGUGCAGCCAGGAAAUGGUUGGUGUUUUGUUGUAUAGCAGCUGCCUCUUGUUGUACAGUGGUUGCCUGUACCAGAGCCUUCAGCAGGUCCUCCAUUAUAGCACCAAGCAGGUAACAGUCUUAAAGGU